RNAcentral lists this ribosomal RNA (761 nucleotides) under uncultured beta proteobacterium. RNAcentral describes it as "bacterial SSU rRNA". It matches the Rfam family "Bacterial small subunit ribosomal RNA", at positions 26 to 687 of the family's 1533-position model. The record is from RNAcentral. Lineage: Bacteria; Pseudomonadati; Pseudomonadota; Betaproteobacteria.
CAUGAACGCUGGCGGAUGCUUACACACGCAGUUUAACGGCAGCACGGACUUCGGUCUGGUGGCGAGUGGCGAACGGGUGAGUAAUACAUCGGAACGUGCCCAGUCGUGGGGGAUAACGUAGCGAAAGCUACGCUAAUACCGCAUACGAUCUAAGGAUGAAAGCGGGGGAUCGCAAGACCUCGCGCGAUUGGAGCGGCCGAUGGCAAGAUUAAUGUAGUUGGUAGGGUAAAGGCCUACCAAGCCGACGAUCUGUAGCUGGUCUGAGAGGACGACCAGCCACACUGGGACUAGAGACACGGACCAGACUCCUACGGGAGGCAGCAGUGGGGAAUUUUGGACAAUGGGCGACAAGCCUGAUCCAGACAUUCCGACGUGCAGGAUGAAGGCCCUCGGGUUGUAAACUGCUUUUGUACGGAACGAAAAGGUCCUGGGUUAAUACCUGGUGUGCUCAUGACUGGUACCGAAAGAAUAAAGACACCGGCUAACCUACGUGACCAGACAGACACGCGGUAAUACGUAGGGUAGACAAGCGUUAAUCGGGAAUUACUUGGGCGUAAAGCGUGCGCAGGCGGUGAUGUAAAGACACGAAGGUGCACAUCCCCCGGGGCCUUCAAACCUGGGGGACACUGCCUUUAGUCGACUUGCACUCGCAUCGCGAGUACGGGAACCACAGGGGGAUGGAAUUACCCGCAGGUGGUAACACGUUGCAACACUGCGUACAUAUUCACGGACGGACACACACGAUGGCGCAAGGGCGAAAC